GCCGAAGUGGUGGAACUGGUAGACACACUAUCUUGAGGGGGUAGCGGCCAACGGUCGUGCGAGUUCGAGUCUCGCCUUCGGCACCA
Molecule: transfer RNA, 86 nt
Filed under: Desulfobulbus oligotrophicus
Lineage: Bacteria; Pseudomonadati; Thermodesulfobacteriota; Desulfobulbia; Desulfobulbales; Desulfobulbaceae
Description: tRNA-Leu
Rfam family: tRNA
About the family: Transfer RNA (tRNA) molecules are approximately 80 nucleotides in length. Their secondary structure includes four short double-helical elements and three loops (D, anti-codon, and T loops).
Source: RNAcentral